This 537-nucleotide long non-coding RNA is filed under the name Oryza brachyantha (malo sina). Its description in RNAcentral is "long non-coding RNA (OBRA_LNC000390)". The record is from RNAcentral. Lineage: Eukaryota; Viridiplantae; Streptophyta; Magnoliopsida; Poales; Poaceae.
ACACAAUAGUCCAUUCUAAUUUGAAAUCUAAUGUCAUAUUUUUUUUAUCAAGAUUACAUGAGCCAUUGGAGUAAACUAAAUAGAUUUUUUAAGAAACAAAGUAUAAUCAUUUAGAACUAUGUACUCGAAGUAUGUUACUAUCUUUCUCAAAUAAUGGGUUACAUUAAUUAAAUAUCGGGUUGUUAACGUCGGAUUUUGGCAAAUAGCUGUUGUGGAUUAAUGUACAAUUAGAAACCGAAUCAGAUAAAAAAAGGGCAAUCGGUUGGAAGAGUAAGGUGAAGUCAGUACGGGUUCAGCCGAAUGAGUCUGAGUCGGACAGAAAUUGGAGUCUGAUUGUGCCCUGAAGCUCAAAGAUAGAUUCGGAACUAUUCACAGUUCAUGUAAAUUAGUUUUAUCUAUAUCUUAGAGUUUGUUUAGGAUUUUAUAUCUAAUUAGAGCCUGUGUGUAAUAGGUUAGUUGUUAAUACGGGUCCAUAUCUGAUUAGAUUAGUUAAUUUCUAAAAUAUAAAUAGGGUAUCCACAGCUUUGUAAAGAUAAC